AGAUUGAACGCUGGCGGCAUGCCUAACACAUGCAAGUCGAACGGGAGUAGCAAUACUCUAGUGGCGGACGGGUGAGGAAUACGUAGGAAUUUGCCCUUAAGUGGGGGAUAACCCGGGGAAACCCGGAUUAAUACCGCAUGACCUCGAAAGAGCAAAGUGGGGGAUCGCAAGACCUCACGCUUUUGGAGAAGCCUACGUCGGAUUAGCUAGUUGGUGAGGUAAUGGCUCACCAAGGCGACGAUCCGUAACUGGUCUGAGAGGAUGAUCAGUCACACCGGAACUGAGACACGGUCCGGACUCCUACGGGAGGCAGCAGUGGGGAAUAUUGGACGAUGGGCGCAAGCCUGAUCCAGCAAUGCCGCGUGUGUGAAGAAGGCCUUCGGGUUGUAAAGCACUUUAAGUUGGAAGAAAAAACUCGCUACGUAACACAGUGAGUCUUGACGUACGACAGAAUAAGCACCGGACUAACUCUGUGCCAGCAGCCGAC
RNAcentral lists this ribosomal RNA (487 nucleotides) under uncultured soil bacterium. Its description in RNAcentral is "bacterial SSU rRNA". It matches the Rfam family "Bacterial small subunit ribosomal RNA", at positions 26 to 518 of the family's 1533-position model. The record is from RNAcentral.